AACUUUUGACAACGGAUCACUUGGCUCUCGCAUCGAUGAAGAAUGCAGCGAAAUGCGAUACGUAAUGUGAAUUGCAGAAUUCAGUGAAUCAUCGAAUCUUUGAAUGCAUAUUGCACUCUUUGGUAUUCCGAAGAGCAUGCUUGUUUGAGUAUCAGUAAACACCUCAACCUCCUCUUGUUUUUUCAAAAGGACGGUGGACUUGAGCUAUCUCAACAACCAUCCCCGGGAGGCGCGUGGCUUGAUUUACUUGUGCAGCUGGACUGUAAUCUGAGCUAAAAGCAUAUGUACUUAGGCCUUGUCACACAGGAUAAUUACCAUUACUGCAGCUAAGAUAAACGAUAAUUGUCCUCAUUACAGACUGAUGCAGGAUUUUAUGACUCUUUAUGGGUUUUUCAACUCGAUCUUAAAUCAAGCAAGACUACCCGUUGAACUUAAGCUGAUGAAUACGCGGAGAUU
RNAcentral lists this unclassified non-coding RNA (456 nucleotides) under uncultured Mortierella. RNAcentral's name for it is "sequence contains ITS2". The stretch from base 1 to 154 matches the Rfam family "5.8S ribosomal RNA". Lineage: Eukaryota; Fungi; Mortierellomycota; Mortierellomycetes; Mortierellales; Mortierellaceae. The record is from RNAcentral.